UAAGACGGAGGGCGCAAACGUUGUUCGGAAUCACUGGGCGUAAAGGGCGCGUAGGCGGAUCGGUAAGUCAGGGGUGAAAGCCCGGGGCUCAACUCCGGGACUGCCCUUGAAACUGCCGUUCUAGAGUUCAGGAGAGGAAGGCGGAAUUCCAGGUGUAGCGGUGGAAUGCGUAGAUAUCUGGAAGAACACCAGUGGCGAAGGCGGCCUUCUGGACUGACACUGACGCUGAGGCGCGAAAGCUAGGGGAGCAAACAGGAUUAGAUACCCUGGUAGUCCUAGCCGUAAACGAUGGGUACUAGGUGCUGGGCGUUUCGACACGUUCAGCGCCGCAGCUAACGCAAUAAGUACCCCGCCUGGGGAGUACGGCCGCAAGGCUG
RNAcentral lists this ribosomal RNA (377 nucleotides) under uncultured bacterium. Its description in RNAcentral is "bacterial SSU rRNA". It matches the Rfam family "Bacterial small subunit ribosomal RNA", at positions 521 to 896 of the family's 1533-position model. The record is from RNAcentral.